GAUUAUGGCUCAGAUUGAACGCUGGCGGCGUGCUUAACACAUGCAAGUCGCGCGUGAAAGGACUUCGGUCCGAGUAAAGCGGCGCACGGGUGAGUAACGCGUGGAUGAUCUACCCAUGAGUUAGGAAUAACGGCUGGAAACGGUCGCUAAUACCAAAUACGCUCCGAUUUCAACUUCGGGGGAAAGGUGGCCUCUGCUUGCAAGCUACUGCUCAUGGAUGAGUCCGCGUCCCAUUAGCUAGUUGGUGGGGUAACGGCCCACCAAGGCGACGAUGGGUAGCCGGUCUGAGAGGAUGACCGGCCACACUGGGACUGGAACACGGCCCAGACUCCUACGGGAGGCAGCAGUGGGGAAUAUUGCGCAAUGGGCGAAAGCCUGACGCAGCGACGCCGCGUGAAGGGAUGAAGGUCCUCGGAUCGUAAACCUCUGUCAGGAGGGAAGAACCGCCACGGUGCUAAUCAGCCGUGGUCUGACGGUACCUCCAAAGGAAGCACCGGCUAACUCCGUGCCAGCCGCCGC
RNAcentral lists this ribosomal RNA (519 nucleotides) under uncultured bacterium. RNAcentral's name for it is "bacterial SSU rRNA". It matches the Rfam family "Bacterial small subunit ribosomal RNA", at positions 15 to 518 of the family's 1533-position model. The record is from RNAcentral.